This 279-nucleotide ribosomal RNA is filed under the name uncultured bacterium. RNAcentral's name for it is "partial 16S ribosomal RNA". It matches the Rfam family "Bacterial small subunit ribosomal RNA", at positions 506 to 784 of the family's 1533-position model. The record is from RNAcentral.
UGCCAGCAGCCGCGGUAAUACAGAGGGUGCAAGCGUUAAUCGGAGUAACUGGGCGUAAAGGGCGCGUAGGCGGUAACACAAGUCAGCUGUGAAAGCCCAGGGCUUAACCUUGGAAUUGCAGUUGAAACUGUGUCACUAGAGUCGAGGAGAGGGAAGCGGAAUUUCCGGUGUAGCGGUGAAAUGCGUAGAUAUCGGAAGGAACACCUGUUGCGAAGGCGGCUUCCUGGACUCAGACUGACGCUGAGGCGCGAAAGCGUGGGUAGCGAACAGGAUUAGAUA